RNAcentral lists this ribosomal RNA (494 nucleotides) under uncultured bacterium. RNAcentral describes it as "partial 16S ribosomal RNA". It matches the Rfam family "Bacterial small subunit ribosomal RNA", at positions 28 to 507 of the family's 1533-position model. The record is from RNAcentral.
GACGAACGCUGGCGGCGUGCUUAACACAUGCAAGUCGAACGGAAAGGCCUGCUUUCCCUUGUGGAUUGCGGGUACUCGAGUGGCGAACGGGUGAGUAACACGUGAGUGAUCUGCACCCAACUUGGGUAUAAGCCUGGGAAACUGGGUCUAAUUCUCGAUAGGACUGCAGGGUGGUGCCGGUGGUGGAAAACGAUGUUCUAGUGGUUGGGGAUGAGCUCGCGGCCUAUCAGCUUGUUGGUGGGGUAAUGGCCUACCAAGGCGGCGACGGGUAGCCGGCCUGAGAGGGUGGACGGCGACAUUGGGACUGGGUUACGGCCCAGACUCCUACGAGAGGCAGCCGUGGUGAAUAUUGCACAAUGGGCGGAAGCCUGCUGCACCGACUCCGCGUGGGGGAUGUCGGCCUUCGGGUUGUAAGCUCCUUUCGACCGCGAGGAAGCCACCUGGUUGGAAGGGUGGUGACGGUAGUGGUAGAAGAAGCACCGGCUAACUACGUG